ACCCCACUGCUAUCGGGGUGGGACUAAGCCAUGCUAGUUGAGCGUCCCGAGUUACGGCGAGACGCGGCGUACGGCUCAGUAACACGUAGUUAACCUGCCCUUAGGACUGGGAUAAUCCCGGGAAACUGGGGCUAAUCCCAGAUGGGUGAGGAGGCCUGGAAUGGUUCCCCACCGAAAGGGCGUUGGGACCAUGCUUCUCAACGCCGCCUAAGGAUGGGGCUGCGGCCGAUCAGGUUGUUGGUGGGGUAACGGCUCACCAAGCCUUUGACCGGUACGGGCUGUGAGAGCAGGAGCCCGGAGAUGGACACUGAGAUAAGGGUCCAGGUCCUACGGGAUGCAGCAGGCGCGAAACCUCCACAAUGCGCGGAAGCGUGAUGGGGCUACCCCGAAUGCCGUCCGCUGAGGAUGGCUUUUCUCCGGUGUAAGGAGCCGGAGGCAAUAAGGGGAGGGCAAGACUGGUGUCAGCCGCCGCGGUAAUACCAGCUCCCUGAGUGGUGGGGACGAUUAUUGGGCUUAAAGCGUCCGUAGCCGGCUUGGCAAGUCUUCCGUUAAAUCCAGCGACCUAAUCGCUGGGCCGCGGGAGAUACUGUCAGGCUAGGAGGCGGGAGAGGCCGGCGGUAUUCUCGGGGUAGGGGUGAAAUCCUAUAAUCCCGGGAGGACCACCGGUGGCGAAGGCGGCCGGCCAGAACGCGCUCGACGGUGAUGGACGAAAGCUGGGGGAGCGAACCGGAUUAGAUACCCGGGUAGUCCCAGCCGUAAACGAUGCGGGCUAGGUGUUGGGGCGGCUACGAGCCGCUUCAGUGCCGCAGGAAAACCGUUAAGCCCGCCGCCUGGGAAGUACGGUCGCAAGACUGAAACUUAAAGGAAUUGGCGGGGGAGCACCACAAGGGGUGAAGCUUGCGGUUCAAUUGGAGUCAACACCGGGAACCUUACCGGGGGCGACAGCAGGAUGAAGGCCAGAUUGAAGGUCUUGCUGGACAAGCUGAGAGGAGGUGCAUGGCCGUCGCCAGUUCGUGCCGUGAGGUGUCCUGUUAAGUCAGGUAACGAUCGAGACCCGCGCCCCUAGUUGCCAGCAGAUCCCGCUGGGAUGCUGGGCACACGAGGGGGACCGCCGCCGACAAGGCGGAGGAGGGAGCGGGCUACGGCAGGUCAGUAUGCCCCGAAUCCCCCGGGCCACACGCGAGCUGCAAUGGCAGGGACAGAGGGCUCUGAACCCGAGAGGGGGAGGCAAUCCCUAAACCCUGCCUCAGUUGGGAUCGAGGGCUGCAACCCGCCCUCGUGAACAUGGAAUCCCUAGUAAUCGCGUGUCAUCAACGCGCGGUGAAUACGUCCCUGCUCCUUGCACACACCGCCCGUCGCUCCAGCCGAGUGAGGUUUGGGUGAGGCGCGGUCUCGUUGGCCGCGUCGAAUCCAGGCUUCGCAAGGG
This 1426-nucleotide ribosomal RNA is filed under the name uncultured archaeon. RNAcentral describes it as "16S ribosomal RNA". It matches the Rfam family "Archaeal small subunit ribosomal RNA". The record is from RNAcentral.